AACGAACGCUGGCAGCAUGCCUAACACAUGCAAGUCGAACGAGACCUUCGGGUCUAGUGGCGCACGGGUGCGUUACGCGUGGGAACCUGCCCUUAGGUUCGGAAUAACUCCCCGAAAGGGGUGCUAAUACCGGAUAAUGUCUUCGGACCAAAGAUUUAUCGCCUUUGGAUGGGCCCGCGUUGGAUUAGCUAGUUGGUAGGGUAAAAGCCUACCAAGGCGACGAUCCAUAGCUGGUCUGAGAGGAUGAUCAGCCACACUGGGACUGAGACCCGGCCCAGACUCCUACGGGAGGCAGCAGUGGGGAAUAUUGGACAAUGGGCGAAAGCCUGAUCCAGCAAUGCCGCGUGAGUGAUGAAGGCCUUAGGGUUGUAAAGCUCUUUUACCCGGGAUGAUAAUGACAGUACCGGGAGAAUAAGCUCCGGCUAACUCCGUG
This 433-nucleotide ribosomal RNA is filed under the name uncultured bacterium. RNAcentral's name for it is "partial 16S ribosomal RNA". It matches the Rfam family "Bacterial small subunit ribosomal RNA", at positions 29 to 507 of the family's 1533-position model. The record is from RNAcentral.